UGCGACCUCAGAGCAGGUGAGACUACCCGC
Molecule: ribosomal RNA, 30 nt
Filed under: Calligrapha suturella
Lineage: Eukaryota; Metazoa; Arthropoda; Insecta; Coleoptera; Chrysomelidae
Also listed under: 1 other name
Description: partial 28S ribosomal RNA
Source: RNAcentral